CUGUGCCCCAUAGAUGUGUGGGGUGGACCCAUAGAUGGGGUCUGUGCCCUAUAGAUGGGGUCUGUGCCCCAUGGAUGUGUGGGGCUGCCCUAUAGAUGGGGUCUAUGCCCCAUAGAUGGGUGGGGUGGACCCAUAGAUGGAGGCUGUGCCCCAUGGAUGUGUGGGGCUGCCCCAUAGAUGGAGGCUGUGCCCCAUAGAUGGAGGUUGUGCCCCAUAGAUGUGUGGGGCUGCCCCAUAGAUGGGGUCUAUGCCCCAUAGAUGUGUGGGGCUGCCCCAUAGAUGGGGUCUGUGCCCCAUAGAUGUGUAGGGCUGCCCUAUAGAUGGGGUCUAUGCCCCAUAGAUGUGUGGGGUGGACCCAUAGAUGGAGUCUGUGCCCCAUAGAUGGAGGCUGUGCCCCAUAGAUGGGGUCUGUGCCCUAUAGAUGGGGUCUGUGCCCCAUAGAUGUGUGGGGCUGCCCCAUAGAUGUGUAACCCCGCCCCCUUUUCCCUUGGCCCCGCCCCCAGGUGCUGGUGCUGCGCCGUGAUUGGUCCUCGGUUCUGCAGUCGCUGCUCGUCAAUCUGCCGGCGUGGGCGGAGCAAAGAGCGGCGUGACGUCAUCGGCGGCCUCAUGAAUAAUUAAUUGGGGGGGGGGGGCACCCGUUGUAAUAGGAGAUCCCAGCUAUGGGGCAAUAUGGGGUAAUGUGGGAGGCUAUGGGGCAAUAUGGGGGGCUAUGGGGUGUUAUGGGGCAAUAUGGGGUUGCUAUGGGGCAAUAUGGGGGGCUAUGGGUCUCUAUGGGUCAAUAUGGGUCUCUAUGGGGCAAUAUGGGGGGCUAUGGGGCCAUCAGUGGGUCUCUAUGGGUCAAUAUGGGUCUCUAUGGGGCAAUAUGGGGUGCUAUGGGGCCAUCA
Molecule: long non-coding RNA, 884 nt
Filed under: Coturnix japonica (Japanese quail)
Lineage: Eukaryota; Metazoa; Chordata; Aves; Galliformes; Phasianidae
Description: lncRNA (ENSCJPG00005002719.1)
Source: RNAcentral